This 414-nucleotide ribosomal RNA is filed under the name uncultured microorganism. Its description in RNAcentral is "bacterial SSU rRNA". It matches the Rfam family "Archaeal small subunit ribosomal RNA", at positions 459 to 872 of the family's 1478-position model. The record is from RNAcentral.
CAGCCGCCGCGGUAAUACCGGCGGCCCGAGUGGCGGUCACUAUUAUUGGGCUUAAAGCGUCCGUAGCCGGGUUGGGAAGUCCUCCGGGAAAUCUGGCCGCUUAACGGUCAGAAUGCCGGAGGAUACUCCCAGCCUAGGGAGCGGGAGAGGCCGAGGGUAUUCCCGGAGUAGGGGUGAAAUCCUAUAAUCCCGGGAGGACCACCUGUGGCGAAGGCGCUCGGCUGGAACGCAUCCGACGGUGAGGGACGAAGGCCAGGGGAGCAAACCGGAUUAGAUACCCGGGUAGUCCUGGCUGUAAACGAUGCGGACUUUGUGUCGGACAAGCUAUGAGCUUGUCCGGUGCCGGAGGGAAACCGUUAAGUCCGCCGCCUGGGGAGUACGGCCGCAAGGCUGAAACUUAAAGGAAUUGGCGGG